AGUGGCGAACGGGUGAGUAAUAUAUCGGAACGUACCUUAUUGUGGGGGAUAACGCAGCGAAAGCUGUGCUAAUACCGCAUAAUCCCUAAAGGGGAAAGCGGGGGACCGUAAGGCCUCGCGCAAUUAGAGCGGCCGAUACCUGAUUAGCUAGUUGGUGAGGUAAAGGCUCACCAAGGCAACGAUCAGUAGCUGGUCUGAGAGGACGAUCAGCCACACUGGGACUGAGACACGGCCCAGACUCCUACGGGAGGCAGCAGUGGGGAAUUUUGGACAAUGGGGGCAACCCUGAUCCAGCAAUGCCGCGUGAGUGAAGAAGGCCUUCGGGUUGUAAAGCUCUUUUGUCAGGGAAGAAACAGCAGCUCUAACACAGUCUGCGAAUGACGGUACCUGAAGAAUAAGCACCGGCUAACUACGUGCCAGCAGCCGCGGUAAUACGUAGGGUGCAAGCGUUAAUCGGAAUUACUGGGCGUAAAGCGUGCGCAGGCGGUUAUGUAAGACAGGCGUGAAAUCCCCGGGCUUAACCUGGGAAUUGCGCUUGUGACUGCAUAGCUAGAGUAUGUCAGAGGGAGGUAGAAUUCCACGUGUAGCAGUGAAAUGCGUAGAGAUGUGGAGGAAUACCAAUGGCGAAGGCAGCCCCCUGGGAUAAUACUGACGCUCAUGCACGAAAGCGCGGGGAGCAAACAGGAUUAGAUACCCUGGU
RNAcentral lists this ribosomal RNA (700 nucleotides) under uncultured beta proteobacterium. RNAcentral's name for it is "bacterial SSU rRNA". It matches the Rfam family "Bacterial small subunit ribosomal RNA", at positions 94 to 791 of the family's 1533-position model. Lineage: Bacteria; Pseudomonadati; Pseudomonadota; Betaproteobacteria. The record is from RNAcentral.